AUUGAACGCUGGCGGCAGGCCUAACACAUGCAAGUCGAGCGGAUGAAGGGAGCUUGCUCCUGGAUUCAGCGGCGGACGGGUGAGUAAUGCCCAGGAAUCUGCCUGGUAGUGGGGGAUAACGUCCGGAAAUGGGCGCUAAUACCGCAUACGUCCUGAGGGAGAAAGUGGGGGAUCUUCGGACCUCACGCUAUCAGAUGAGCCUAGGUCGGAUUAGCUAGUUGGUGGGGUAAAGGCCUACCAAGGCGACGAUCCGUAACUGGUCUGAGAGGAUGAUCAGUCACACUGGAACUGAGACACGGUCCAGACUCCUACGGGAGGCAGCAGUGGGGAAUAUUGGACAAUGGGCGAAAGCCUGAUCCAGCCAUGCCGCGUGUGUGAAGAAGGUCUUCGGAUUGUAAAGCACUUUAAGUUGGGAGGAAGGGCAGUAAGUUAAUACCUUGCUGUUUUGACGUUACCAACAGAAUAAGCACCGGCUAACUUCGUG
RNAcentral lists this ribosomal RNA (484 nucleotides) under uncultured bacterium. RNAcentral's name for it is "partial 16S ribosomal RNA". It matches the Rfam family "Bacterial small subunit ribosomal RNA", at positions 30 to 507 of the family's 1533-position model. The record is from RNAcentral.